This 714-nucleotide ribosomal RNA is filed under the name Psychrobacter maritimus. RNAcentral describes it as "bacterial SSU rRNA". It matches the Rfam family "Bacterial small subunit ribosomal RNA", at positions 713 to 1437 of the family's 1533-position model. The record is from RNAcentral. Lineage: Bacteria; Pseudomonadati; Pseudomonadota; Gammaproteobacteria; Moraxellales; Moraxellaceae.
UACCGAUGCGAAGCAGCUCUGCAUCAUAUGACACUGAGUCGAAGCGUGGUAGCAACAGGAUAGAUACCUGUAGUCACGCGUAAACGAUGUCUACUAGUCGUUGGGUCCCUGAGGACUUAGUGACGCAGCUAACGCAAUAAGUAGACCGCCUGGGGAGUACGGCCGCAAGGUUAAAACUCAAAUGAAUUGACGGGGGCCCGCACAAGCGGUGGAGCAUGUGGUUUAAUUCGAUGCAACGCGAAGAACCUUACCUGGUCUUGACAUAUCUAGAAUCCUGCAGAGAUGCGGGAGUGCCUUCGGGAAUUAGAAUACAGGUGCUGCAUGGCUGUCGUCAGCUCGUGUCGUGAGAUGUUGGGUUAAGUCCCGCAACGAGCGCAACCCUUGUCCUUAGUUACCAGCGGGUUAAGCCGGGAACUCUAAGGAUACUGCCAGUGACAAACUGGAGGAAGGCGGGGACGACGUCAAGUCAUCAUGGCCCUUACGACCAGGGCUACACACGUGCUACAAUGGUAGGUACAGAGGGCAGCUACACAGCGAUGUGAUGCGAAUCUCAAAAAGCCUAUCGUAGUCCAGAUUGGAGUCUGCAACUCGACUCCAUGAAGUAGGAAUCGCUAGUAAUCGCGGAUCAGAAUGCCGCGGUGAAUACGUUCCCGGGCCUUGUACACACCGCCCGUCACACCAUGGGARUKGRUUGCACCAGAAGUGGAUAGCCUA